GCGAACGCUGGCGGCAGGCCUAACACAUGCAAGUCGAACGGAUCCUUCGGGAUUAGUGGCGGACGGGUGAGUAACACGUGGGAACGUGCCCUUUGGUUCGGAACAACUCAGGGAAACUUGAGCUAAUACCGGAUGUGCCCUUCGGGGGAAAGAUUUAUCGCCAUUGGAGCGGCCCACAUCUGAUUAGCUAGUUGGUGAGGUAACGGCCCACCAAGGCGACGAUCAGUAGCUGGUCUGAGAGGAUGAUCAGCCACACUGGGACUGAGACACGGCCCAGACUCCUACGGGAGGCAGCAGUGGGGAAUCUUGCGCAAUGGGCGAAAGCCUGACGCAGCCAUGCCGCGUGAAUGAUGAGGGUCUUAGGAUUGUAAAAUUCUUUCAGCGGGGACGAUAAUGACGGUACCCGCAGAAGAAGCGCCGGCUAACUUCGUG
This 432-nucleotide ribosomal RNA is filed under the name uncultured bacterium. Its description in RNAcentral is "partial 16S ribosomal RNA". It matches the Rfam family "Bacterial small subunit ribosomal RNA", at positions 29 to 507 of the family's 1533-position model. The record is from RNAcentral.